Molecule: ribosomal RNA, 213 nt
Filed under: uncultured Lactobacillus sp.
Lineage: Bacteria; Bacillati; Bacillota; Bacilli; Lactobacillales; Lactobacillaceae
Description: partial 16S ribosomal RNA
Rfam family: Bacterial small subunit ribosomal RNA
Source: RNAcentral
CCUGGAAACAGAUGCUAAUACCGGAUAACAACAGAUGAUGCCUAUCAACUGUUUAAAAGAUGGUUCUGCUAUCACUCUUGGAUGGACCUGCGGUGCAUUAGCUAGUUGGUAGAGUAACGGCCUACCAAGGCGAUGAUGCAUAGCCGAGUUGAGAGACUGAUCGGCCACAUUGGGACUGAGACACGGCCCAAACUCCUACGGGAGGCAGCAGAC